CAAUAGCGUAUAUUAACGUUGUUGCAGUUAAAAAGCUCGUAGUUGGAUUUCUGGAGGGAGCGUCGGCCCGUAUUUACGAGUGCGUGACGUCUCUGUCCAUCCUUGCGGGAAGGCACGGCAUUGAUUUGUUGUGUCGGAUCGCAUCAUUUACUGUGAAAAAAUUAGAGUGUUCAAAGCAGGCUUUCGCUUGAAUACAUUAGCAUGGAAUAAUAAGAUAGGACUUUGGUGCUAUUUUGUUGGUUGAGCCUAAAGUAAUGAUUAAUAGGGAUAGUUGGGGGCACCUGUAUUGCGUUGUCAGAGGUGAAAUUCUUGGAUUUACGCAAGACAAACAGCUGCGAAAGCAUUUGCCAAGGAUGUUUUCAUUG
Molecule: ribosomal RNA, 365 nt
Filed under: uncultured eukaryote
Lineage: Eukaryota
Description: partial 18S ribosomal RNA
Rfam family: Eukaryotic small subunit ribosomal RNA
Source: RNAcentral